Molecule: long non-coding RNA, 735 nt
Organism: Megalopta genalis
Lineage: Eukaryota; Metazoa; Arthropoda; Insecta; Hymenoptera; Halictidae
Source: RefSeq, a predicted model, not a curated record
UUGACACCGAACAUCCUAGCUGCCUUACAGAAUCCUAUGCCGCCGUAACGGACUGCGUCUAACGCUCUGAUAAAGUUCUCGUCCGCCUGCGGAUUCGUCGAUCGUUUCCUUUUAAUUGCGGUCUGCGGACUGGCACACGGGCUCUGGCAGUUACUUGGGCACUGAACGGACGGCGACGGGCCGCUCGACGUCGCGUGCUGCAACGUCCCGUGCGACGGGUUCGGAUAAUUCGUCAGGGCGCAACUGGAACCAGUCGUGCUGGUACCAGAGUACUGAUCGCUGAUGGUCGAGGAAGCUGUUAUUUCGGGCGUGGUAAAAGCUGAUGAUGCUUGGAUCGACAGAUUCGUUUGACACGAGGACAGAGCGAAACGUGGAUAUGUGUGCUCCAUUAUAGUCCAUUGCAAUCCUGCGGAACAGACCGGUUCAUCUUUGGUCAGAGCACAGGAAUUAAUUCGACUGGCUAAUAUUAUGCGUUGCUGAAUAUAUAUUUUGUGUAGCAGAGAUGUUCGAAAUAAUAGCUAAAAUUGAUAAAUCAAAAGUGAAUUUACAAGAAUCUAUUGAAAUUAAAUUAGCUAAACAAUUGUCUAGUUCGAAUGAGAAGUAAUGCUUUAUGCUACUAUAUGAACGUGUGGAAAAAGAAGAAACAAUGCUAAGCUGUAAGCAGAAAAGAAUGGAAAGAUAUAUGUAAAAGUCUGUGAAUGUAAUGGUAAAUAUAUGAAUAUAUCGAGGAUAGAA